UACGUAGGUGGCAAGCGUUGUCCGGAUUUAUUGGGUUUAAAGGGUGCGUAGGCGGCCUGGUAAGUCAGUGGUGAAAGACUUCAGCUCAACUGGAGAGGUGCCAUUGAUACUGUCAGGCUUGAGUACAGACGAGGUAGGCGGAAUUGACGGUGUAGCGGUGAAAUGCAUAGAUAUCGUCAAGAACACCGAUAGCGAAGGCAGCUUACUAGACUGAGACUGACGCUGAGGCACGAAAGUGUGGGGAUCAAACAGG
This 253-nucleotide unclassified non-coding RNA is filed under the name uncultured Cytophagales bacterium. RNAcentral describes it as "contains 16S-23S intergenic spacer region". It matches the Rfam family "Bacterial small subunit ribosomal RNA", at positions 524 to 776 of the family's 1533-position model. Lineage: Bacteria; Pseudomonadati; Bacteroidota; Sphingobacteriia; Sphingobacteriales. The record is from RNAcentral.